RNAcentral lists this ribosomal RNA (696 nucleotides) under uncultured archaeon. Its description in RNAcentral is "bacterial SSU rRNA". It matches the Rfam family "Archaeal small subunit ribosomal RNA", at positions 85 to 787 of the family's 1478-position model. The record is from RNAcentral.
ACGGCUCAGUAACACGUAGCUAAUCUACCCUUAAGUCAAGGAUAACCUCGGGAAACUGAGGAUAAUACUUGAUAAGAGAUUUACCCUGGAAAGAUUUAUCUCAUAAAUUCGAGCUUAAGGAUGAGGCUGCGGCGGAUUAGGUUGUUGGCGAGAUAAAAGCCCACCAAGCCGAUGAUCCGUAAGGGCUCUUAGCGGAGAGGCCCUGAGAGGGAAUCUGAGACACUAUUCCCAGCCCUACGGGGUGCAGCAGGUAGGAAUCUUUUGCAAUGCGCGCAAGCGUGACAAAGCGAGCCAGAGUGCUUUUCAAUUGAAAAGCUUUUGCUAAAUCUAAAAAUUUUGGCGAAUAAGGACUGGGUAAGACUAGUGCCAGCCGCCGCGGUAAUCCUAGCGGUCCAAGUCGCAGCCAUCAUUAUUGGGUCUAAAACAUCCGUAGCUUGCUUAAUAAGUUCCUUGUGAAAUCUUAACUCUUAAGGUUAAGGCGUGCAAGGAGUACUGCUAAGCUAGAGACUGGAAGACGUAAGAAGUAUGUUCAAAGUAGCGGUAAAAUGUGUUAAUCUUGAGCAGACUCACAACAGCGAAGGCAUCUUACGAGGACAGUUCUGACAGUAAAGGAUGAAGGCUAGGGGCGCGAAGUGGAUUAGAUACCCAUGUAGUCCUAGCAGUAAACACUGCGCGCUAAACAUUAGUACCUCCUCG